GUGGGGAAUAUUGGACAAUGGGCGAAAGCCUGAUCCAGCCAUGCCGCGUGUGUGAAGAAGGUCUUCGGAUUGUAAAGCACUUUAAGUUGGGAGGAAGGGCAGUAAGUUAAUACCUUGCUGUUUUGACGUUACCGACAGAAUAAGCACCGGCUAACUUCGUGCCAGCAGCCGCGGUAAUACGAAGGGUGCAAGCGUUAAUCGGAAUUACUGGGCGUAAAGCGCGCGUAGGUGGUUCGUUAAGUUGGAUGUGAAAGCCCCGGGCUCAACCUGGGAACUGCAUCCAAAACUGGCGAGCUAGAGUACGGUAGAGGGUGGUGGAAUUUCCUGUGUAGCGGUGAAAUGCGUAGAUAUAGGAAGGAACACCAGUGGCGAAGGCGACCACCUGGACUGAUACUGACACUGAGGUGCGAAAGCGUGGGGAGCAAACAGGAUUAGAAACCCCGGUAGUCC
RNAcentral lists this ribosomal RNA (450 nucleotides) under uncultured bacterium. RNAcentral's name for it is "partial 16S ribosomal RNA". It matches the Rfam family "Bacterial small subunit ribosomal RNA", at positions 354 to 796 of the family's 1533-position model. The record is from RNAcentral.